Molecule: ribosomal RNA, 372 nt
Filed under: uncultured organism
Description: bacterial SSU rRNA
Rfam family: Bacterial small subunit ribosomal RNA
Source: RNAcentral
CGGGGGGAGCAAGCGUUGUUCGGAUUACUGGCGUGAAGGGCGCGUAGGCGGCCACCGCAAGUCGACUGUGAAAUCUCCGGGCUUAACCCGGAAAGGUCAGCCGAUACUGCGGGGCUAGAGUGCAGAAGGGGCAACUGGAAUUCUCGGUGUAGCGGUGAAAUGCGUAGAUAUCGAGAGGAACACCUGCGGCGAAGGCGGGUUGCUGGGCUGACACUGACGCUGAUGCGCGAAAGCUAGGGGAGCGAACGGGAUUAGAUACCCCGGUAGUCCUAGCCUUAAACGAUGAAUGCUUGGUGUCUGGGGUUUUAUAGUCCCCGGGUGCCGUCGCUAACGCUUUAAGCAUUCCGCCUGGGGAGUACGGUCGCAAGACUG